RNAcentral lists this ribosomal RNA (465 nucleotides) under Vreelandella stevensii. RNAcentral's name for it is "partial 16S ribosomal RNA". It matches the Rfam family "Bacterial small subunit ribosomal RNA", at positions 338 to 795 of the family's 1533-position model. The record is from RNAcentral. Lineage: Bacteria; Pseudomonadati; Pseudomonadota; Gammaproteobacteria; Oceanospirillales; Halomonadaceae.
CCUACGGGGCGCUGCAGUGGGGAAUAUUGGGCAAUGGGCGAAAGCCUGAUCCAGCCAUGCCGCGUGUGUGAAGAAGGCCUUCGGGUUGUAAAGCACUUUCAGUGGGGAAGAAAGCCUUGGGGCUAAUACCCUCGAGGAAGGACAUCACCCACAGAAGAAGCACCGGCUAACUCCGUGCCAGCAGCCGCGGUAAUACGGAGGGUGCGAGCGUUAAUCGGAAUUACUGGGCGUAAAGCGCGCGUAGGCGGUCUGAUAAGCCGGUUGUGAAAGCCCCGGGCUCAACCUGGGAACGGCAUCCGGAACUGUCAGGCUAGAGUGCAGGAGAGGAAGGUAGAAUUCCCGGUGUAGCGGUGAAAUGCGUAGAGAUCGGGAGGAAUACCAGUGGCGAAGGCGGCCUUCUGGACUGACACUGACGCUGAGGUGCGAAAGCGUGGGUAGCAAACAGGAUUAGAUACCCGUGUAGUC